AACUUUGCGCAGUGGCAGUAUCAUAGCCAAUGAGGUUUAUCUGAGGCACGAUUAUUGCUAAUUGAAAAAAAAAUCACAGUUCUGUUAUCUAUAUGUUUAAAAUCUUUUAAAAUUCAUAAAUUAG
This 124-nucleotide small nuclear RNA is filed under the name Dasypus novemcinctus (nine-banded armadillo). Its description in RNAcentral is "U4 spliceosomal RNA (ENSDNOG00000028141.1)". It matches the Rfam family "U4 spliceosomal RNA". Rfam says of the family: U4 small nuclear RNA (U4 snRNA) is a component of the major U2-dependent spliceosome. The structure of U4 snRNA from yeast and human has been reported. Lineage: Eukaryota; Metazoa; Chordata; Mammalia; Cingulata; Dasypodidae. The record is from RNAcentral.